This 293-nucleotide ribosomal RNA is filed under the name uncultured prokaryote. RNAcentral's name for it is "partial 16S ribosomal RNA". It matches the Rfam family "Archaeal small subunit ribosomal RNA", at positions 455 to 747 of the family's 1478-position model. The record is from RNAcentral.
GUGUCAGCCGCCGCGGUAAUACCGGGAGCCCAAGUGAUGGCCGAUCUUAUUGGGCCUAAAGCGUCCGUAGCUGGCCACGCAAGUCCAUCGGGAAAUCCACCCGCUUAACGGGUGGGCGUCCGGCGGAAACUGUGCGGCUUGGGACAGGAAGGCUCGAGGGGUACGUUCGGGGUAGGAGUGAAAUCCCGUAAUCCUGAACGGACCACCGAUGGCGAAAGCACCUCGAGAGGACUGAUCCGACAGUGAGGGACGAAGGCUGGGGUCUCGAACCGGAUUAGAUACCCGCGUAGUCC